UGGGGAAUUUUGGACAAUGGGCGAAAGCCUGAUCCAGCAAUGCCGCGUGUGUGAAGAAGGCCUUCGGGUUGUAAAGCACUUUUGUCCGGAAAGAAAUCCUCUGGGUUAAUACCUCGGGGGGAUGACGGUACCGGAAGAAUAAGCACCGGCUAACUACGUGCCAGCAGCCGCGGUAAUACGUAGGGUGCAAGCGUUAAUCGGAAUUACUGGGCGUAAAGCGUGCGCAGGCGGUUUUGUAAGACGGAUGUGAAAUCCCCGGGCUUAACCUGGGAACUGCAUUCGUGACUGCAAGGCUAGAGUAUGGCAGAGGGGGGUAGAAUUCCACGUGUGAGCAGUGAAAUGCGUAGAGAUGGUGGAGGAAUACCGAUGGCGAAGGCAGCCCCCUGGGCCAAUACUGACGCUCAUGCACG
Molecule: ribosomal RNA, 410 nt
Filed under: uncultured bacterium
Lineage: Bacteria
Description: partial 16S ribosomal RNA
Rfam family: Bacterial small subunit ribosomal RNA
Source: RNAcentral